Long non-coding RNA from Zingiber officinale, 744 nucleotides. RefSeq lists it as uncharacterized. The record is from RefSeq and is a predicted model, not a curated record. The transcript is spliced from 2 exons. NCBI's taxonomy places the organism in Eukaryota, Viridiplantae, Streptophyta, Magnoliopsida, Zingiberales, Zingiberaceae.
GGGGGUUGCGGCGCAACCUGCCCGUCUAUCUGAUUAUAAAUUCGGACCAAGUUCUAACCGGACCCGGGCCGGGUCGGGUCUUGGUGAAUAUAGUGAGCCAUUCAAAUUCCCUGCCCGGUGGAAGAGAAGGCGACGUGUGCCCAGUGGGAAAAGCGGCUUCUAGGGUUUCGGUGAGCGGUAAAUCAACCGCCCGAUCUCGCUCCUUGAGGUCUUCGAUCUCGAUCCGGAUCUCGCCAGUUGAUCAUGGGGAGGGGCAGGUUCAAGGCCAAGCCCACCGGCCGGAGAAACUUUUCCACGCCUGAAGAGAUGGCUAAGAACAAUCCAUGAAAUGAUUAUCGUGAUGAAGAGUCUGAUUUUCAAGAUUCUGAUGGAAACUAUGAUCAAAGUGAAGAGGAAGAUUGAGAGGACUGGAGAUGGGGAUAUCAUUAAAUUUGUCUACUUGUGUUAAGCUGAAGCAAUCACUUCAGAAGCUGAAUAUGAGAAUGAAAAUUUUGUUAUUGAUUUAGAAGAUUUCUGAUUCAGAUUAUAAACGAUAAAAGUUAUUGGUGAAGAGGAAACGAAGACCGAGAAUAUUGGAGAUGGAAUAUGUCAAUUAAUUUAGUGUGCACGUAUUAAAUCGAGACACUGAUUGUCUUAUUUUGAUGUAUAUUUUGUGUUGCUCAAUAUUUUAUAAAUAGACAUCUAAAAUUGGUCAUCUGUAUUAUGUUUGGUAGUUAAUGGAAUAUAACAACUAUAUUAUGUAAA